UAAUUCAUUUCAACCAAUUCAAUCAAUCACCUACUUAAGUGAAUCGUAUCGAACAAACAAUUAACCAAAAGCUGAAUGCUAACAACAAUUACUAAUCACGAGCAUCAUUGUCAACAUGAACCAAAUUGUACAACUGAAUUCAAUUACUACGCUAAAGUAUAAUCCAAAUAGUUCACAACAGUCCACUUUAUACAGAUAACUCGAAUUAACACAUUGUUCUAUACACCAGAGAUAAAACAUGGCAUGAAAUCAAUAGAUCUCUUCAAACAACGUUCCACUUCAUAUUCAAAAGCUUGAAAGUCGCAAAUGUGUACCUGGAUUAUUGCAAUAUAAGAAAAAGAAAAAAGAAUCAGCAGCAGCCAAGAGCAGAAAUCAAACGCAUCCAGAGAAAUGCAACGGCCCAGAAAGGUUUUAGAAAACCAAAUAUAGCCAAUAGAUCUACUCAAAUAAACACCAAAAUGCCCAGGAACAAACCAGGAAAGCAACACAAUCAACAGAUCAAACCAAAACAGCGUUUAAUAAUCCAAAAUGAACCCAGUCCUUCAUUCAUAAUCAGUAAACACUAAUAACUGAUUCGAACUGCUCUUAAUUCUCUAUAUGAGCUAGAGACUUAAAAUCUGUAACUGAUUGAAUAAAACUAAGGUAACCGUAAUGUUUUUAGAUUUUUAUUGAUUUUGUGUUUGUUUUUUGGAUUUUGAAUGCUGAAAUUCAAAUCUUGAUCUGAAACUAAGGAGAGCU
This 738-nucleotide long non-coding RNA is filed under the name Nicotiana benthamiana. RNAcentral's name for it is "long non-coding RNA (NBEN_LNC023547)". Lineage: Eukaryota; Viridiplantae; Streptophyta; Magnoliopsida; Solanales; Solanaceae. The record is from RNAcentral.